Molecule: ribosomal RNA, 239 nt
Filed under: uncultured Lactobacillus sp.
Lineage: Bacteria; Bacillati; Bacillota; Bacilli; Lactobacillales; Lactobacillaceae
Description: partial 16S ribosomal RNA
Rfam family: Bacterial small subunit ribosomal RNA
Source: RNAcentral
AACCUGCCCAAGAGAUCGGGAUAACACCUGGAAACAGAUGCUAAUACCGGAUAACAACAGAUGAUGCCUAUCAACUGUUUAAAAGAUGGUUCUGCUAUCACUCUUUGGAUGGACCUGCGGUGCAUUAGCUAGUUGGUAGGGUAACGGCCUACCAAGGCGAUGAUGCAUAGCCGAGUUGAGAGACUGAUCGGCCACAUUGGGACUGAGACACGGCCCAACUCCUACGGGAGGCAGCAGUC